Long non-coding RNA from Rhea pennata, 1337 nucleotides. RefSeq lists it as uncharacterized. The record is from RefSeq and is a predicted model, not a curated record. Lineage: Eukaryota; Metazoa; Chordata; Aves; Rheiformes; Rheidae. The transcript has 6 exons.
AAUGUCACCCAGAGCCCCGGUCCGCGGGGGAGCAGGCGGUGAGGUAGAGAUGCGUGUGAGGGAGACAGAGACCACCGCGAGCCCCGAGGGCUUGUCAAGUUGGAGAAAACAGCAAGCUUUUGGGCUCAGAAAGCUUAGACCAUCAUGGCUACGAAAACUGAACUGCUAGUCAGAAAAAAUGCAAUUCUGGAACUCCUUAGUGAAACAGCAAGGCAAAACAACAUUGCUGGCUCGGCAUCUGUGAAAACUGAAGCCCAUUCUUUAUUCAUGGAUUAAUUACAGCAGAGCAGUUGCCAAGUGAUCUUCUCCAUAGUACCCAUGAACUUCAGCCUUGAACUGAAGAGGACUCAUCAAAUGGGUCAUGGUAUACUGAAUAGAUUCAUUAAGCUUGGUAUUACUUCUUUUCUUGAAAUAUGUAUCACUGAACUUUUCUUAAAGCUUGGGAGAUACAACAUGGAGUUGGAAGAGAAGCGGGGAUCUCCAUGAAGGGCAGUCAACUGGAGUCUUGGUGUGUGGAGGAGCAGGUCCGGUUCUCACUGUUGCUACUCCCACAUAGGUGGACUCUGUAACUGAUUAUGUGUGGGUAGGGCCCUAUUGAAAUUAAGGAGAUUCUGCAAUAGUGCAGGGUUCUGUUUGUGAAAAUUCAAUUGCAAGAUCAGGACCCUACUGUGACUCCUUACUGUGCAUACUGUCAGUGUAUCAUUGAUUGUGCUGGAACCUGCCUUAUGGGAUAAUUACCAAAUAAUAUAUUCCUCAAAACAUCUUAAUGGCAUUGAGGCUUUGUGGAUAGUUGGUCACAUGAUGAGAAAAUUAAGCUGUAAGUACACUGAAAUGAUUGAAUUUUUCAGUAGUUAGUCUUUUCUCAUAUGCACAUACUGCUAAGGGUAAAAAAAGGUGAAUUGAGAGGUUUGAUUUGUGUGUGACUUCAGUUCUUUUUAGAAAAUAUAUGUAAUAACUCUCAUAGAUAUUUCAUUGUUAUUGAAUGAUUUAUCGUGUGAACCUGAAGUCCAGCACUACUGCUGUUAGGUGGGGAAUUUUAAGUUGUUUGUCGUCUUUUUUUCAAAAACACCAUGCCUCUGACUUGCUCUUCAUUUCCACCCAUAACCUUUUCAAAACUUAUAGAUCUGCAAAACUUGUUUAUACUACCAGUAUUUGUGUAGGUAUUGCAAACAGAUUUACUAACAUAAUUGUCUUCUGCUGAGUGGAAUAUUGAAAUGUUAAUAAAUGUACGCUUAUACUUAUGUCAAUGUAACUUGGCUAAAUUAAACUAAACUGAUCUGGCAUUUUGAGUGAAUUUGAUCAUGCAUGCUGAUUAACUGUAAUCUUCUUCAUAAGAA